This 208-nucleotide ribosomal RNA is filed under the name uncultured bacterium. Its description in RNAcentral is "partial 16S ribosomal RNA". It matches the Rfam family "Bacterial small subunit ribosomal RNA", at positions 568 to 775 of the family's 1533-position model. The record is from RNAcentral.
CUCGUAGGCGGUUCGUCGCGUCCGGUGUGAAAGUCCAUCGCUUAACGGUGGAUCUGCGCCGGGUACGGGCGGGCUGGAGUGCGGUAGGGGAGACUGGAAUUCCCGGUGUAACGGUGGAAUGUGUAGAUAUCGGGAAGAACACCAAUGGCGAAGGCAGGUCUCUGGGCCGUUACUGACGCUGAGGAGCGAAAGCGUGGGGAGCGAACAA